CGCGUUGUUCGGGGGAGGCGCGGGGAGAGCGGACGGGUGCGCGGUGCGCUCGGCGUGGAUUGCGGUGUUCCUACACACAGCUGCUGGAUGGCCCAAAGCAGGGAGCGAGACCGGGAAUUGCAAGUGACGUGCUGAGCCGGGAGGGGAACGUUCCCUGCAACUCGCACGGAGCAGUGGGCAGCUGACACGGGGCUGGCAAUACAAUCACAGAAUCAUAGAAGGGCUUGGGCUGAAAGGGAUCUUAUAAGACCAUCCGGUUCCUUCCUGUGCCAUGGGCAGCACUGCCACCCACCAGACCAGGCUGUCCAGGGCUCCAUCCAGCCUGGCCUUAGACGCCUCCAGGGAUGUGGCACCCACAGAUGCUGUGCCAGCACCUCACUGCCUUCUGUCACCUAACCUAAACCUCCCCUCUUUUAGCUUAAAGCCAUUCAUUGUCCUUGGGCAGAGUGGAGGGGAAAAUCCCCUCCCACUCUUUGCUGGCUACCCGUGUUG
Non-coding RNA from Coturnix japonica (Japanese quail), 492 nucleotides. NCBI's taxonomy places the organism in Eukaryota, Metazoa, Chordata, Aves, Galliformes, Phasianidae. The record is from RefSeq and is a predicted model, not a curated record.